GCGGUGGGUGUACUAACCCGAACCUCCGUCUUUCUUAUGUGUCAUACAGCCACUGAAAGUGGCACAUACAGGUCAAUUGAAAACCUAAUGGGUCAACACCUAACACUGAAGGCUGCCUUUGUUGUCAGUAUAGGACGCAAAAGUCAACUUUCCCAGCGUCUAUAUAAUGUGCAAAUGAGAAUAGCAAUUCCCUUGUAAUUCUUCUUGGUACUGUACUGCACAUGCCUUCAGCAUGUUGGUUCAAUUGAUAAGAUUUUAUCUCUUUCCAGGCAGUGUUUCCUCCACACCAUCCCCAGGGAGGAGCAUCUUGAGACCUUCUCUGCCUAUGGCUGAAUGUUGGCUGUGGAGGUUUUCCCGGUUGAAAUCAUACUGUUGCCCUCAGAAAGUCGACACCAGAAAAUGUGUUUUUGUUUUUGCCUGAGAGAAACUUAAAAUAAUUCCUGUAUUUCCAAUUAAAGAAUGCAUUUGUCACUGUUUGCUUUCAUCUGUGGCCGUGGAGCAGGGGGUUACUUUACACA
Synchiropus splendidus (mandarinfish) is the source of this 518-nucleotide long non-coding RNA. RefSeq lists it as uncharacterized. Lineage: Eukaryota; Metazoa; Chordata; Actinopteri; Syngnathiformes; Callionymidae. The record is from RefSeq and is a predicted model, not a curated record. The transcript is spliced from 3 exons.